Molecule: long non-coding RNA, 298 nt
Filed under: Homo sapiens (human)
Lineage: Eukaryota; Metazoa; Chordata; Mammalia; Primates; Hominidae
Description: non-protein coding lnc-TAS2R1-17:1
Source: RNAcentral
CCAGCUUAAGGAAUGGGUGGGAAUUAGUUUCAUACUGUAGAUUAGGCAGACUUGUGCUACUGCUGUCCACCCACACAUCUACAUGAUCAAAAGACAGUGCCCUUCCCACUACUAAAUUGCUGGUUACCCAUCCCUUCUUCUAUCCCUAUUGUCCCUGCUAAUUUCAGGUUCCCAAUGCCUACCUGCUGGUUGCCUGCAAUGACCUCUACAUCACUCUCCUUGUAUUCACCACUACAGCCACACUGCUUUCCAGGUCUUAUACCCACAGAGAAGUCUUUCUCAACUACUUGUCUCUCAC